AUAUCUAUUUAAUUUAUUUUAAUUUAUUUAUUUAACUUGCCUUAGGUGAAAAGAUCUCAACGCUUCAUUUUUACAAAAAUCAGUUUGCAUAAUGUGAUGUAACGUGAUAAAGGCAUGUAUGUGAGUGUGUGUUUGAUAGCAGUGUGAAUUUUUGCUAUGUAAUAUGUUUGUAAAAUUGGACAGUGCUAUGCUCCAAAUGCUAACGUACAUUUUUGAGGUGAUUUGACCACUAGCACUGCAUUGUAUUAGUUGACCACUAGUACUGUGUUAGUUGACAACCAGCACAAGGUGUUCACUGUCCCUAGCAAGCAAUGCGUUAGUUGUCCACUAACAAGUCAGUGUGUUAGUUGACUAUCAGCACUGCAAUAUAAUUGCUUUUAUAAAUAAACUGGACUGCUAAUCAACUAAAAAGUUGUAAAAUAAUUUUGUUUUACAUGAAUUUUCUAAAUUAAAUUUUAAAAAAAAUCAUGGAAGAAAAAAGCAAAUUAAACAAGUUCCUUGCGCUUAUGUUAUGACUAACCUUAGCGAAAACUAAAAACUUUACUUUGAUGCAAGAAAAAAAAAUGUGACUUUUUUUAUAACAAAUUUUUGUAUGGAUUUUCAUGAUAAAUUUUUUAAAUGUUUAAAAAGAAUUAAAAUAUCUUCAAGAAAUUUUGAAGGGUCAAAAAUUGAAACAAAAAAAAUCAAAACAAAAUGGCAAGUAGUUGGAAGCAAAGGACAAAAAAAAAAGAAAUAUUCUUAAACUUUCUCUUUAUUCCUAAUCACAUUAUGCAGUGUCUAGAGAAAAGUUAAAAUACCUCACCUUUUGUCUGUUAGGAAAUGUGAGCAUGCUGGUACACAGUCGUUGACACAAUCAUAUGACAAAUAUGAUGUCAUAGCUUUCACUCUGUGUUGUUGCUGAGUUUUGUCUGUAUAGAUGGCACAAGCCUUUUACAAAUUGCAGACAAACUUGUAGUUGACCAAAAACAAUAUAUAUAUAUAUAAUUAUUAUUUACCUAUUUCAUGUCACUUUUAUUUUUUUUAUUUGCAUUUGUUGUGUUUGUUUUUUUUUUCAUUUUGAAUAUAUGUUUAUUAUUAUUAUUAUCAUUAUUAUUAUUAUUAUUAUUAUUAUUAUUAUUGCACUUAAGUUUCUCUUUUUAAAAUGUUUCAAACAACAUAAUUGUUUUUUUUCUUAUUUAUUCUAAUUUUCAUGAUUUUUUUUCUUGUUUUUGUUGUGUAUAGAUUUAGAGGACAUUGAGUGUGCUGUCGUUAAAAAACCUAUCUGAUUUCAAAGUGCACUGUAAUCAGAAAGACAUAACUGUAUUUUUAGAAGCCUUUUUUUUUAACCAUUAUUUCUAUUAUUACUGAGGUUUUGUUGAUUUACACUUUUUUUUUUUGUAGAAAUAAUAUGUGCACUGAAACGUCAGAUGUAUAAACAAUGUAAAAAGUUUUCAUAGCUUUUAUUAGUGGGCUCCAUGCAAAAAUAUAAGGAACCAUUAACAAAUUUUAUGCAUUUUUAUAUAUGGAUUUAUAAUCCAUUUUAAUAAUGUUAUGCAUGUUAAUUAUAACUUCAGAUGAUUUUUUUUUAACAGAUGGCUAAACAAAGAAAAUGAACCAAAAAUAAUUUUAAAAACAUUUUUAACACAAAAAAGUACAACGUUCUUUUUUUUAAUCAACUAGGAGAAAGAUAUUUGCUUUCCAGGUGGUAGUAGGGGCCAGUUACAGAUGCAUUUCCAUAGUUUGUUUGAGAAUUAUUUGAUGACAAAAUUAAUUCUGGGUUGCAGGAAUUUUUUUCUUUUUCUAUAUAUAUAUAUAUUUUCUCUUUAAUAGCAAGCAGUGGUCUUGCUUGUAUUCAGUCCUCCUAACAUUUAGGGUGUGAUAUUUGAGUAUGCUAGCCUGGUUUUGCUGCAUGCUGUGUGUACAAUUAUCUUGAAUAUUCUAUGUAUGGUCACUGCUUUAAGAGCAAUUUCACUUGACUUGCUACGUUGCAUACCAUACCAACAAGGAAACAUAAAGAUACAAACACACAUACAUACAUACAUACACACACACACACACACAUAUAAGUGCAACCAAAGACACACACAUAUACAUCUUGGAUUGGGAAAUCAAUUUUAUCAUUUAAGAAACAGAUAUUAAACUAAUAUGCAAAACACUCUUUUUAUAUUGUCUUGUUAUUUUUUCUCACUUUUCUCUUAAGUUCUUUUUGUGUUUGAACAGUAACACAGAACAUAGCUUACAUAUUUUUUAUUUCUAAUGGAAGUAAAAAAAAAUAUUUGUCUAGUAAGUUUCUGAAAUCAACUUUGAUACAAGUAAUUUACAAUUCUAGUAUUUGCACUGCCUCCUGUAUUUGUAUGCUCUCGACAGUUUGUAUUAGAUUUAAUAUAUAUUGAAGCAUAUGAACUUACUUUGUUAAAUCAAUGUAGAAUAUAAGAAAAACAAAGGUUAGAAGAUUAAAAAGUUGGCUUUUGUUUUUAAAUUUCAACUUCUAUUUCUUUCUUUUGUUUACAUUCAUAAUUAAGAAGAGGUCUGAGAUUGAGAUUAAAAGCAUAAAUAAAAUGUUGGAAACGAUAGGAAUGAAAGCCAACCAUUUAUCAUAUACUUGAGUUUGUCAAUAAUUAUGAAUCCAGUGUUUAUCACUCUUGUUUAGAGAUCACACAUUGAAAGAUGGUACCUUUCCAUUAGAAAAUAGAUUCCACUACAUUUUUUUCUGUCAACUUUGUACACUAUUAAUUCCUUUCCUACCUUUUUCUCAUCUAUACACUUCACGUAGCAUAUAUGUGCACAGCUGUAAAAUACUUUUUCAGACUAUUUCAACAUGAAUAACAUUGGUUUCCGAAUCCUUUCUACUACUUGUUUCUUUUUCUUUUAUUUCCAUUUGUCUUUGAUAAUAUACUAUUGCUCAAUAGAUUUCUUUUUACUGUAUAAAAAAAGUAUGAUUUAAUGCACCAAAAAUCUCAAAACUUAAAUGAUGAAACAAAAUCUUUACAAUAGUUAUUUCUCCCCUCUUGCCUCAUCUCCUUGCCGCACAUUCACAAGUUUUCCUUUUGUGAUAAAAGGGUUUAAUAAAUGUAAGGAUUAUAAUCUGAUAGGAGAGCAUUUUAGUCAAGUCAAUAAGAAAGAAACCAGACAACCAAUUGUGGGUUUAUCAAAUCAUAUCAUCUCACUAGCACUGUGUUAAAUCCAUGACCAAGGUACUUAGAUCUCAUUGGCUAAGUCCACCUAGAUUUCAGUGUCUCACAUGGUGGAAUAAUUCAAUGCAGCAGCACUGCAGAAUUGAUGAGCAUUUCAUUGGCUUGUAGUAUUGGUUUCAUUUCCUCUGGAAAGAAGAGGAAAGGCUACCUGCAAUGAACCAUCAUUUUAUUUAGGGUAGAUUUUAUGUUGCACAAACCUGGUAUAAACAAUGGCCCUCUGUAGAUCCUCAUGACUGAAAAUAAAAUAAGCUAGUUUAUGUAGCUGGAUAGAAAAAUCAGAUAAGUUUAUGAAGGAACGGUCUUAAUAAGAAAUUGUUUCUCACAUAAACUUCAAAUUUUUAUAUGAAUCAAAUACAUAAAAUUUCACAAUGAAAACAAUUAUAAUUUUGGCUGACUUUUUUAUAGUUUAUAUACAUCUUCAUAGUUAUUAAGUUUCAACUCAAUAUUUGAUAAAUGAUAGAGGGUGUUUAAAUAUUUCAAUAAAAUUUCUGCCUUACAUAAGUUUUCUUAUUAAUUUCACAAACUAGAUAAGUAUUAUUUCAAUAAAUAUGACGGAAAGAAAUAUUUGUGCUUUUUAAAAUUAUAAAUUGCUAGAAACAAAAACAAUAUAACAUCAGGUUAAAUAGUAUUUAAUUCCAUCUACAUUCUGAUUUUAAGUUAAGCCCUACCCACAGGGUCGACUCUGCCUUUCAUCUUUGCCCUCAGAGGUGAUAGAAUAUGUGCCAAGCAUGUACAGAUGUCAGUUCAAUCAACUAUAACCUACCCCAAUUUCUCCAAAUGUAUGAUCUGGUGCCAAUAAACAAAGUCAUUAUAAGUAUAAUUGCUAUAAUACUAGUAUGAUCCAUUUCUUUAUAUGUGGGAUGCAAUCAAUCGCUUUCCACAUUUAUUGACUAAAUACCUGAUUAUAGUUCAUAGGUGUUUAUAUUAUAUUACAUUGGUCAAAGCUUCUGCAAACAUUGAUCUGCUGAACUUUACUUUCUUUUAUUGCCACCCAUUUCUGCAGUAUCUAGAUUUUAGAUUCCUUUAUCCAAUUGAGAAUCACAAUUUAUCAAUAUAUAAAAAAAAAGAAAACCACUGGAUUGGGAAGUCUACAAAAAUUACAUAAGUGUAUGAAGAUUUGUUUUGAAAUAUAAGAGUUCAGACGAAGUAAUAAAAAGAACAAAGCAUUUAUUAUAAGUUUGAUUAUGUAGUACUAUUGGAAUAUGUGUGUCGUACAUUUUGGGAUAGAUCAGCAUUCUUAAACAUAUAAUAUGUUUCAUUGCUAUUAAAAAUUAAAUCUUUGCAUGAAAAUAUAAACAACCAAUAAAUUUGAGCAAAGUGUCCUAUUCCUAACAGAUGACUUGCUGAAAUAGUCUGCAUUUGAUUCUAUUUAAACACAUAUGCAUGCACACACAAACAUAUACAAACACACACAAUAUCUUUUAUUUCCAAUCCUUUUAUAAAAUAAAAUGUCUUCAUGAUUUCCCCUUUGUCUUAUAAACCUCUCUUUGUCUGUGCUAGUUCUGACUACAUAACGACCCAUGCUUCUAUUGGCAAUAGAGAAAAACAAGGUAUAAUAAAAUUUGAAAAUUAUGGUCAGUCUGUGUGCUGUGAGAAGAGGUGAAUUCUAGUGUUAUAAGCAAGGAAGAGCUUUGCCUAAAAGAUUAAAACCCUUCACACCACACAAGCUUAAUCUUAAAUGCAAAUUUUAUUAACCACUUCUUUUCUUUUUUUUUUUUUUGUUUUGAGUGAGGGCAACACUGACUCUCUGUUUUUCUCACAUUCUAGUUUUUUGGGUUUUUGUUGUUUUUUAUCCUUUAUAAGUCUUAAUAUGUUGUUUUAUGAAAAAAAAUCAAGCAAUGAAUUAUGGUAUAGCAAGUAAAAGCUAAAAAUUACAAUCUCAAGAUAUAAAAGCACGAGUUCUUUCUAUUAUUUAUUAUCAUUUAUGAAAACAAUUUAACAUAAUUGUUAAUGGUCUUUCAAGUUGUGUGUAUAUACAUGCAUAUAUAUGUAUAUACCUGUGUGAAUGCUACUAAUGUGUAUGAUGAUAUAUGUAUGUGUGUGUGGUUAUAUGCAUGGCUGUAGAGUAUGUGUAUAUAAAAAAAAAAGCAUUUCUUUUUAUGUAUGUACAUCAAAACAAAAAUUUUCUGAAAUUCUACAUCAGAGACUGUAAAUCAGAACAACUUUUAACUUAUAUAAAGAACUGCUCUAUUAUAACUCUAAUUCAACACUUUGUCCUAUUCAUUGCAAUAUUAAAGGACAAAAGUUGCCUUUUGUUUUUGUUUUUUGUUGGUUUUUCUUUUCUUUUUUAUUUUAAUUUUCUAAGAUGAAUACUUAGAGAAGAAAAGAGAAUUUCAGUAAAAGCCUUCUCAUGACCUGCAGGAUAGGCAAGUUUUUCUUUUGUGUUUCGUUUAUGUAUUCCCUUCCAUAUUGAAAUAUUUGUACGUUAUAGUUUGAGUUUCAUUUAUUUACUUUUAUUUAUUUUUUUUUUUAAUCUGAAAGAAGAAAUCACUUAGUUCUUAAAAGGUUGGACGAAUGAUGUAAAUCUUAGACCAGAGCAAUAAUUAAGACUCAUAUUAUUGGUACAUUUGAAUAUUAGCCUUAUUAUUCGUCUCACAUAUACACACGCAUGAACACACUGACUUAGACCUCUGUCACUUCUUAUAGCUGGAUUGUUUUCCAAUGAGCAAACUGAACCCUGCAUCUCCAAUAUUGUUCUCUCAUACAAGCUAACAGUUCGUUUUUAAAAAAAUAAUCAAUUAUACCUUAUAUGAUAGUUUGUUUUCUUUCGUUAUUUGUUUGGUUUUUCUUUUCAUUCUAUAUUAUCCAGUUUAUUUAUUUUCAGUGUCAACUAUUGUACUUACUUUAAAUUCAUUUUUACACUAUGAAAACUUAGAGAUUUCUUUUUAAAUUGUUCUGGGGGGAAAUGCAUUAAAAUUUUCAAUAAUUUUUCUGGGUUUUUGUUUUUGUUUUUGGUACUAGACAAUUUGGCAAUUUUACCAGAUGAUGGUUUCUGUUUAUUAGAGUCUGUCAAUUAAUACUCAGAAUUUUCAUAAAAUCUUACAUUACUACAGUUUUACUGAAGAUCACACAACAAAAUCUUGGCAAUAAAACUUUAUAACAGCAAUGCCAUAAAACUAAAUAUCAGUAGCUAUAAGAAAACUAUUCUGCUCUAUUUAGUCCCUUUAAUGUAUUCUUUCAGCUCGUCACUAUUAACAAUGUCCUUUGUUAACAUUUUGAAUAAUUUUUGGCUUUGCCAGUUACUUGCCUUCCAGUUGUCACAAUUUUAUUAUCAUAUAAGCAAUAAUGAUGAUGAUAAUAAUAACUUUUAAACAAAAAUCAAAAACAAACAGUGACAUCAAGCUGAGAGAGAAAGAGUGAGCGAAAGAAAAUUAUAGUGACAAAAUACAUUUAGCAAAAUAGCUAUGUCUGGUCAAUUUUAACAAAGUCUGGCAAAAUUUAACUUCUACAACUUGUAAAUUUCCAGUAUGUCUGACAAAUUUCAACUACAUCAAAUUUCAACUAUGUCUGGCAAAAAAAGAAAAAAAAAAGAGAAAACUCUACAUUUAGUGUCUACAAAUACUGUGAUGAUGCUUAAUCAGUUUUAAAGCAGCAUUUUUCUAUCACUUUAUACAUGUUUGAUCCAUGAUCUAUGUUGCUCUUGCAAAUUUCUUGUAACAUACACCUUAAGCAUGACAUACAGGCAGCAGUAGGGAGAAGGUGGCGACUAUUAAUGACGAUGAUAAGUGUUGGAUUAUUUACAUUGACAGGCAAAUAGUCCUUGUUGGUGCCAGUCAAGAGACAUUAUAUCAGUAAUUUCUCCAUAUUGCAUAUUCCUUUAAUCUCUUCUACAUCUCUUUAUUUUCCUUCUCCAUUCCCAUUCAGUUUCAUAUUACUUCAAUGAUGCCAAGGAGAGGAGCAAUCUUAACAAAUAUGUUGUUUAAUACAUAUGGGUACAAUGUGUCUAUAUAUAUAUAUUGUAUGCCUGGCAAAUAAUUUAGUGCUUGCUGGACCAUCUGCCAGGCAAAUAAUUAAGAGGUUAGCAAUUUUUUUUAAAUGUUUUUAAAAUUUAAUUCACCACUUUUACAUUAUCGAAAAAUCUCUCACUCAGACUUUCGGUUAGAAAGCCACAAUAUUUACAUUAUUUUGCUGUGUAUGUGUGUGUGUGUGUGUAUGUAUAUAUAUGUACAUAUAUAUAUGUGUGUGUGUGUGUGUAUAUAUAUAUAUAUAUAUACAUAUACACACAUAUAUUCAUAACACACAUGCACAUACAUGCAUGUAUGUUUUUCAUACUUAUUCUAUUUGCUUCAUAGAUUGUUAUUUACUUUAUACGAGUAGAAUAUCCAUUUCUCUUCUGUUUGUUUACCAAUAUCUUUUAUAUUGGUUCGUCAAAGCAUAACUUAAACUUUUGUCUAUCCACAUCCACCCGGUUAACUUGCUGUUCAACUCCAUUGAGAUUUUUACCUACAUAGAACUUUCAAUAAUUACAUCAAUUAAUAUGAUGAGGAUAUCAUCGAUAACAAAGAAACUCAGAAGCUUUUAGCUAAAUUUUACACUUUUGUUAUUUCAUGAACUUGGAACAACUCUCAACAAUUCAAAAUAACCUCAUAAUUAACAUUUUCAUUUCUUUUGUUUCGUAUCUGAUAUAUUUCCAUUUGUUCAAUAGUAAUUCGUUUUGAAAUGAAUAUGCUCCAUGUUUCAAACAAUUUACUCUUUAAAAUUACUUGUGAUAUAAAAAGAGAACAUUAAAAGAAAGAUACUCAUAAAACUUAACGUCGGCAAUACUAUUUUAAAUACAUUAAAAUAGUACUUACAAUUUUAUACUUAAUAUUAUGGUAUAAUUUACAAAUCCAUAAUUUGAUGUUUUGGGGUUUUUUUGUUUUGCUUUGUCUUUUUUUUUCUUACUUAUUACACUUACCCUGCCUGCCUCAAUAUCAAAAAUGAAGAGUUUUUUUUAAAAAAAUCAAGAUGGAGAUUUUACUAACCAUUCUUGUACCGUUUUUGAUCCCACAAUAUUCACAAUCGGUAAAACCCUUCUAAUUUUUUUAAUUUCUUUGUAGCAAGUUUGUAGCUUUAUUUCUAUAUGUUCUUAUUAAACAAUUUACAUAAAGGGUUCACAAAUUAUUUACAUUUCUAUUUUGUUCUUAGUAAAAACACAGAUAUUGAUAGACUUGUACAAAUGUAGAUAUUGUUAUUUAAACAUUUUUGUGGUUCCAUUUGAAAACUCUUGCUUUAAUAUCAUAAUUAUGAAAACUUUUGAAGGAAUGAAGAAAGCAAAAUGUAAAAAAAAGUUACUCUUAAAACUCAUUUCUGUUAUACUCUUUGAAAUAUAAAAAAAAUUGAUAAACCUGAACGUUUCUGUGGGGAAAAAAAAAAGACCAGUAAAGAUCCUUGGAGCUUGAGCUUCCUAGAUUUUCACUUUGAAAAAGGGAUUCUACAAGUUCACUUUGUAUAUUAAGAAGUUUCCCGACUUAUAUAUAUUCUGUCAAAACUUAUGUUCUCUUUCUUGAGUACUAUGAACAUUUUAAGCAAUUUGAUCUAAUGAUAAACUGGUUCUCAGCAUAACUUAUACACAACUGAAGCAUAAAGUAUUAAAUUUGGUUAUAGGUAAAAGUUCAAUUUGUUUAACUAAGAACUAGCUAAACUCUAAAUCAGACAUUUUCCUAAUAUUUUAUACUUUCAUUUCAUACAUACAUACACACACACACACAUACACACACACACACACAUAUAUAUAUAUAUAUAUAUAUAUAUAUAUGAUAUAUGUAUGUAAUGACUUUUUUUAAUACCUUCAACGACAGAAAAAGUUACAAUUUAAGCUGAUGGUGACAAUAAUAAUAAUAGAACUAAUGUGUUGAUUCAGUCGGCAGUUAAUUGUGACUUUUGCUUUUAAACAUGUCACAGAGGAUUGAACUUGACACAAAAACAAAUACAAAAGGAAACAAAAAAGAAACUCUUUUAAAUCUAUUUGUUGUUUUGAACUCUUUUGACAUCGAAUAUUUACUAUUUUUGAUUUUUUUAAUAUUUGGUUUGAUAAAAUUUAUAGACGCCUCCCCCUUACCUUUAAUACUAUUAUUACCAUCGUCAUCAUUACAAUUUUUAUCAUUUUUAUGUUAGAAGAAUCUAAAAGAUUUAAGUUUUGCAUCAUGUUAGUAUUUCAUUUGGCUUAAAUCUCCACUAAAUGUAAAAUAUUUUGCUUGGAAAUGAAGAAAAAAUAUGAGUUUGAAGCUAGAUACAAAAGUUCAAAUUUGUGGGAAUUUCUUCACUUUGUGUUCUAAGGUGCAGCUUUUUGGUUUGAAGCAGGCUUUCAGUUCCGAAAGCAGUGCCCCAGUUGUUUUGUUAUUUAUUUUAGUCAGAUUUUUUUAUGUGCAAUUAAAGUAGAUAUGACAGUGUUUUGUUUUUUGUAACUAAAAAGACAUUGUAAAUACCAACAUUUUUCUAUCAGAAAAUAAACAAUGAAUGAAUCAUGUAGAUAUGAAUAGACUUGUGUGAUGGAGGGUGUGUUUAAACAAUUUGUGUAGUUACAUGUAUUUGUGUGUGCAUAUGUAUAUAUAUAUAUAUAUAUAUAUAUAUAUAUACAUACAUAUAUGUAUGUACAUAUGAAUGUGUGUGUGUGGAUAUGUAUGCAUAUACAUAAAUAUAUGUGUAUGCACACAUAUAUGUAUAAGAAAUACAUGCACAUACAUUUUACUAUAUAAUUCAUUGAUUGGAAUGGAAAGAGAAAGUUUCUAAUACUUUCAAAGGACUAAAUUUGUACAAAACUGUAGUUAUACCUUAAUAAACAUUCAUCAGCUUGACAGUACCAUUUCACUAGAAGAAAAUGGUAAACGUUUUUUGGAUCAAGUUGAAUUAAGUUCUUAAUAUAAAUGCUACAAUCUAGUAAGAUUUUUAUAAAUCAGUCUUGUAUGCUUGCAGUGGCAUGCAUCUGUUCUAUUAUCUUUGACUCAGACUUUUAACAGUAAUUAAAAAAGAAUUUUUAAAAAACUUAUAUUACUUAAAUAAUACCUAAAUUUAUAAACUUACAAGACAAUACAUAGCAAAAAAGAGUUAUCAAAUUUUGGUACUACUUACUAUUUGCUGUGGAUAUUCUUAAAUUUUUGUUUUCUUCUAACAAACCUUAAAACUGUUUAAUGGAAAUUUAAAAGUUCCUUUAGACAUCGAUACCUUUUUAAGAAUGUUGUUCUGCUCUCCAUAUUUGUAUACACUUGAGCAAAUUGUUUGCAUGUAUGUAUGUCUACAAAUGCAGAUGUGUGCAUGUGUGUGUGUUACAUAUAUGGAUAUUGUAUGUGUGAGUGUAUAAAAUAGUGAACAACAGGAUAUGAUCUUGCUUAUUAUAGAUAAUUACAUCAAAGGGUUUUAUAUAUAAAUAAAAUUACAAAAAAAAAUAUAUAAUCUUUUUUUUUACUUAGUUUCUUUUAAGAAACAAUGUUCAUUUGAUUUAAUAUUUACCUGAUGCUCUCCCUCUCUCUCUCUCUCUCUCUAUCUCUCUCUCCCUAUCUAUCUAUCUAUUUAUCUACUUAUCUCUGAACCACUUUUAAAUUGAGUGAGCUGCAAUUAUACAACAUGGUCCCAAACUCUAAAUUCAGUGCAAUCACACUUUCUUGCUGAUUCUUGUUUUUUUUUUUUCUUCAAAGAUAUAUAUAUGUAUAUAUACAUACAUAUAUAAGAGCGUUAUAGUUUGCUUUUAUAUAUAUAUAUAUAUAUAUAUAUAAAGCAUCUUAUUACUGACUUCAUACAAUUGUUUCUUUUGAUUUACAUAUUAUAGUAGUAUACUGGUAAUGUCAUCUUGCUUGUGAGAUAAGAUUUUCUCUAGAAAAAUCAUGAAUAGAUAUACAAGAAAGGAUUAGAUUUAUUUACCAAUAUUAAGAGAAAAUAGUUUAAACAUUAAUCUGUGUAUCAUUUUCAGCUUAAGUAUAUAUUACCUAAUCCCAUCUUUUAGAUUUUGUUUUUGUAGGUCAUUUCUUUUUAUAAAUAUGGCAUGUGGCUUUUACAGAUGUCAUCCCAAUAACGUUUAUCAUUCACAUUUUUGUUCUCAAUGAUAAGAUGCUUCUUUUGUUUUAGUCUUUGCUUGCACUAUGCGGCUUAUUGGUUUUUGUUUUUUUUAAAUCUGGACAGAGUUUUCAAUGAGUAAAACAAUUUAGAGAACAAACAAAUCUUCCAGAAUUACUAUUAAGCAGAUUGUUAAUAAUAAUAUUGAAUUGAAGUCAGAGUUACAAAAAUAAAAAUAAAAUAUUUCUCAAUAAUUAUAUAGGUGCGAAACCACCCAGCAAGUCUUAGCUAGUUCCCAUUUAAUCACACUAUGUCAAUAAACUUCUGAAUAUUCUACUUACCUUUAAUAUACCUACCCACCCUGCAUACACACAUGCAUGUACAAAUGAUAUACAUUUCAUUGUUUCUAUGGAAUUAUCAGACUAUUUGCCAGAUCAUAUGUAAAUGCUAAGCACUGUAACUUAUUUUCAUUGUAUUUAGAUUUUUCUUGACAAUAUUGGACAAAUACAAUGUGUUCAUAACUAUCAAUAAACUAUUAUAAGUGCAUAAAAGAUGAAGGAAAUGAUAUAGCAAUUAAAAAUCUUUCCCUUCUUAAGAUUAGGGAUAUUUUCAUAAAGAACAAAAAUUGGUAUUCAUAUUUAUUGUUAAUAAUGAAUGGAGUAGAAAAUUUAAGAAAAAGAGAAUACGCUAAAAAAUAAAUUCAGUUAUUUUGGUGAUAAAGGAAUAAAUUAGUGGAUAUUUUAAAGUAAAGCAAAGCACAAGGAAAAACCUCAAGUUCUUAAAUCUGGAUUCACACUAAAAUAUUAGUUAGCAUCACUGCCACUGGUGGAGAAGCUGACUUAGACAAUUCAAUAUAAAAGGAAAUUAUGGCAGAAUUGUUAGCAUGCCAGGCAAAAUGCUUAGCAGCAUUUUGUCCAUUUUUACAUUCUUAGUUCAAAUUCCUCCAAGGUCAUCUUUGCCUUUCAUCCUUUCAGGGUUAAUAAAAUAAGUAUUAGUUGUUUACUGGGGUCAACAUGAUCAACAUAACAUUGCUGGCCUUGUGCAAAAUUUGAAAUCAAUAUAAAAAGAAAUUAUAAAAGGAACAAAAAAUAAAAUUCUUUAAAAUUCACCAUGACAUUGAUUCUCCUGUAUUUAUGAAAGUAGGUUUUUUUAAAAAGAACACAUGAUCAGUUUUUGCUGAAAGAGGAAUAGAAUUGAUGCCAAUCAAUAACUAAUACUUAGUUUAUCAUUACUAAGCAUAUAAGAAAAAUUUAAUUAGCUCCAACAGAACGUUUUCUUAGAACAGUACCAAACUAGUUUGUUAUGAAUUCAAUCAAGUGUUAUAUUGUUUAGCUAGCUCAAAUUACUGAGACAUGAUGAGUUAAAUUUAUCAGGGAGGAAGAACACAAAUUGCCAGGUUUAUACCAAUUUCAAGGGCAUUUGCACUGGAAAUGAAGAAAAUUAUUCAAACUGGAAACUGAAACUAGGUUACAAAUUUGAAUUUACAAUUAGAACUUACUUCAAUAUUUCAAUAGCAAUCAUAACAACAACGAUGAUGAGGAGGAGAAUGAUUAAAAGAAAAAUUUUCCGAAUUACUAUGAUUUUGUUUCUUUAGGGGUUUUCGUCUCAUCCAUAAGUAAAAGUUCAGGGAUUUCUUUUUAAAUACAAAAUAUGUUAACUUGGUCCUUAAUGUCUUCCAAAUGGUAAUAACAAUGCUUAAAAUUUCUAAUCUCUCAAAAAAUGAAAUAUAAACUCAGUCACUGGAAAAUAGUAGAAAAUAAUAGGCAACACAAAAUAAAUAAAUAAAAUAAUGCAUAAACAGCAUAAAUUUCUUUGAAUUUUAAUUCUUUUUUUCAAUUAUAGAACUUCUUUUCUGACUUGCAUAUGUCUCCCUCACCAUUUAUUAUUGAUAUAAUGAUGAUGAUUAUCAUCAUUAACAUUAUAGUUAUUAUUAUUAUUAUUAUUAUUAUUAUCGAUAUUAUAAUUACUAUUAUUAUUAUUAUAAUUAUUAUUGAUUAGUAUUGCUACUGUUAGUUUCUUUCAACCAAAAUGAAAAUGUCAAAACUUCAUGGAAAAAAUAACUAAAAAUAAGUAAAUAAAAAAAACUCAGAAUACGUGGACAACAAAAUAUUCAUUUUAAUGAAAACAUUUUUUUUUUCUACAUUCAUUAUGUUUAUUAUUUUGAAAUCCACACCAGCAACAGCCAAGUGUUUUUUGGUUUUUUUGUGUUUUUUUUUAUAUACUCUUGAAACAAUAAUUUUACAUUUUUUUCCCUUUUUCUACAACUCCUUUUAUAAAAAAUGUUAAAAAUGAUUAAAAAAAAUAUUAAUGAAACAAAAUCAGUAUAAAAAGAACAAAGAAUGUCGUUACUGGACUACACAGCAUGCAUUCUCCGUGAAGUGCCAAUGAAAAAAUAAAUACCUUAUUGAAGAUUCCUAACUCUCUUACCAGUGGCAGUGGUGAUAUCCCUGAAAACAAACAAACAAAUGCAACAACAACUACAAUAAUAAACAUACUAAAAUGUUACUGUUGAAUUUAGAGGUCUCUGGUCUUAGAUGGUUUAUUUAGUCACAUAUUUUGUGAUGCAAUUUGAAGUGAUUUCUAGUGUAGUACCUAGUAGAUUAACAGCUACAUUAGGGUACAAUCAGUUGUAAGUUAUUUUAGCAAGACUUAUUUCAGUAACUUCAAUUCCAGUGCAGGACUGGCCAGUCUGCCAUGCACUGUAGCAAUCAGUUGUACCAUACUGUUUCUUUGUAUUUAUUGUUAAAUUACUGAAGAUAUUUAUAUGGCACUAACUUGACUGGUUUUUUUAAUCAGUUGGGCUAGUAAUAAACAUUUAUAACCAAC
RNAcentral lists this long non-coding RNA (13967 nucleotides) under Octopus vulgaris (common octopus). Lineage: Eukaryota; Metazoa; Mollusca; Cephalopoda; Octopoda; Octopodidae. The record is from RNAcentral.